Eptesicus fuscus (big brown bat) is the source of this 360-nucleotide long non-coding RNA. RefSeq lists it as uncharacterized. Lineage: Eukaryota; Metazoa; Chordata; Mammalia; Chiroptera; Vespertilionidae. The record is from RefSeq and is a predicted model, not a curated record. The transcript has 3 exons.
CUAUCCUGAGAAUCAAGGCUAGAAGUGGGCGCAGGAAAGGACACGCAGUGAAAAUGAAGUACUUUUCUCAUGUUUCCAAUAUAUUGCUACAAGAGUGAAGCCAUCACCCUUGGAUUGCAUGUUAACUUCAGGAGUGUGAAUCACCGGGAGGAAGAUUACACUUUUGGAAACUCAAUACUUUGGAGCAGGCUUUGUUGGUUUAAUCCCUCAGACUGCUUUGUGCAACUCGAAACCUGGAGCUGUUAUCUUUAGCCGGAAUUUCAGCCAUAACGUCCUCAGCUUUCACCCCAUCAUUGAAAUCAGCAUUCACAAUCCUUAACAAAGAUGGACCUUCCUGCGGACCACAGGGCAGCCUCUUAC